RNAcentral lists this ribosomal RNA (492 nucleotides) under uncultured bacterium. RNAcentral describes it as "partial 16S ribosomal RNA". It matches the Rfam family "Bacterial small subunit ribosomal RNA", at positions 29 to 507 of the family's 1533-position model. The record is from RNAcentral.
AGUGAACGCUGGCGGUAGGCCUAACACAUGCAAGUCGAACGGCAGCACAGUAAGAGCUUGCUCUUACGGGUGGCGAGUGGCGGACGUGUGAGGAAUACAUCCGAAUCUACUUUUUCGUGGGGGAUAACGUAGGGAAACUUACGCUAAUACCGCAUACGACCUACGGUUGAAAGCAGGGGAUCUUCGGACCUUGCGCGAUUGAAUGAGCCGAUGUCGGAUUAGCUAGUUGGCGGGGUAAAGGCCCACCAAGGCGACGAUCCGUAGCUGGUCUGAGAGGAUGAUCAGCCACACUGGAACUGAGACACGGUCCAGACUCCUACGGGAGGCAGCAGUGGGGAAUAUUGGACAAUGGGCGCAAGCCUGAUCCAGCCAUCCCGCGUGGGUGAAGAAGGCCUUCGGGUUGUAAAGCCCUUUUGUUGGGAAAGAAAAGCAGCAGGUUAAUACCCCGCUGUUCUGACGGUACCCAAAGAAUAAGCACCGGCUAACUUCGUG